This 180-nucleotide ribosomal RNA is filed under the name Carnobacterium maltaromaticum. RNAcentral describes it as "partial 16S ribosomal RNA". It matches the Rfam family "Bacterial small subunit ribosomal RNA", at positions 426 to 598 of the family's 1533-position model. The record is from RNAcentral. Lineage: Bacteria; Bacillati; Bacillota; Bacilli; Lactobacillales; Carnobacteriaceae.
UAAAACUCUGUUGUUAAAGAAGAACAAGGAUGAGAGUAACUGCUCAUCCCCUGACGGUAUUUAACCAGAAAGCCACGGCUAACUACGUGCCAGCAGCCGCGGUAAUACGUAGGUGGCAAGCGUUGUCCGGAUUUAUUGGGCGUAAAGCGAGCGCAGGCGGUUCUUUAAGUCUGAUGUGAA